Long non-coding RNA from Orcinus orca (killer whale), 7972 nucleotides. RefSeq lists it as uncharacterized. The transcript has 10 exons. NCBI's taxonomy places the organism in Eukaryota, Metazoa, Chordata, Mammalia, Artiodactyla, Delphinidae. The record is from RefSeq and is a predicted model, not a curated record.
CAAGACAUAAUCGCGCGUGCGGGGAGGGGUGGCGGUCACGUGGUCAGGGAGCCGAGCGCUGGGGCGUAGGGGACCGCGGCUUGGAACUCCGGACGGCUGCAAGCCUGCUCAGGCUGCUUGUCUUCAUCGCCUUCUUUCGCUGUGCGCGGACCACACGGUGGAACUGUAGCGGCGAAAGCGACUGAGGUCUGGGCGCAAUUAUCUGUAACCUCCUGGCGACCCUGCAAGAAGACGCGUUAUUACAAGAUACUGAAUAUAGUUCCCUGCUCUAUACAGGGAACACAAGUAAGAAUGGAGGGUGCUCUUCCCCCCGCCCCACCCCGAAGGUAACAAAGGAUCAAGGUUUUCUCCGUGAAAUAGCCGCAGAAUGUAAACUGAAGCUGCUGGCAUUUCCCUGAGAGUUUUACUGGCUCAGCUCAAGAACCACCUCCUCCAAGUUGUCUUCCUGGAUUUACUCAGCCUAAAGUAAUCCUUCUUUUUCCUAGGUAUUGUUAUAGAUGCUGAGGCUUCAUCUGUGAACAAGACCGACCAAGUCUCUGACCUCAUGGAGCUUAUUUCAUAUGUGGGCAACAGAUAAUAAGGACGACUACACCUCUUCACGGGAAUUCUCGGAUCCUUGAAACAACACUUUAAGGGCUCAGCACAAUGGACAUAGAAACAGCAGUGGUCGAUGACUGCAUUGAUCCAAAUUUGGAAGUUGUGUGGCAGAAGAACCCCACCACCUAACACACAAAGACGUCCAACUAGCUGAAGGUUCUGGAUUCUCAAGUGCUAAGGGAAUAAUGACUGGAGUGUGGGUUGGUCAGGAGAGGCCGCCUGGAGAAUGUCUCCAGCCGGAUGGUGAAGGGCUGGUAGAGUUUCGAUGGCAAGGGCUUCCCCGAGUUGAGGAAGAGGGCUUGGGCACGAGCCAGAGCACACAGCGCCUGUAAUAAGCUAGAGGCGAGGCUAGAGGUUUCAUGCUUAGAGCAAAGCCUGGAAUUCCCCUCUCUUUUUCUGUCCAGGUGGUCAGAAAUAAACCACAGAGGUUCCAGAAACACAGAGAUCGGAAAUGUUCACUCUAGGAAAGUGCACUGGGCCAGAAGUGAAGAGCUACGAUCUCUGAUCCUGGUUCUACCACCGAUUUGUCCCAUAAUGGUGGGCAGUUCGUGUAAACCUUUUUUAGACCAUUUUCUUGCCAGUUAGACAGAGAUAGAUAUAUAAUCAGACUACCACACGGAGCUGGUGGGAGGAGUCAGUGAAAGCUUACAAAUACCCAUCAAAUGUAAGUUACUGAGAUACUAUUAUUAAAAUGUACUCGUGGAGACACUAGUACAGGUCUUCCUUCCAUUCUCUUUGGCCUCUUUAGCCAACACUCAACAUGAAUUUCACGAGAGGUUGCUGGUUGCCUUUCUAAAAACAUAUUUAACCAGUUUCUUCAAAAUUUGAAGGUCGAAAUUCUAAACUUUGUAACAAUCUAAAAAGGAAUUUAAGGCAAUCUUAUGACACUGUUGCGGAGGUUCCAGGCUUCCUCUUAUAAUGCAUGGAAGGUUUUCAAGCAACUGUUCUCUUUGACUAGCCCAGAAAAAUCCUCCUUCCUUCAUCUCCUUGAAUCUAGCCUGCAUAUCUGAGAGAAUUCUGAUUAUAGUUUAUACAGUAUAACAUUGGUGCCUAAGGGCCAUUCCCUUAGCCAUUCCCUUUACACCUGUGUUGAAUGAAGGGGUUGGUGGAAGUUCAAAUCUGUGUGUUAACAUAUGACUUUAAUUGGAGACUGAAGAUGACCGCUUGUUAAUAAUUUGGCAUAUGAAUCAUUUAAAAAACAAAACACUUCUGGUGAAGAGAGGUGCUAGAAUUCAUCCUCAUCCCCUCCUCCUGAAUGUGUAUUUUACCUAAAAUCACACAGAUUUUCUGAACAAGUUUAACAGUGUGCUAUAACAUAAUUGCAAUAUUAUACCAGAAGCAUUAUCAAUGCUAAGUACUCUCCAGUUUAGAAUGCAUGAAUAAAUUCUCUAAAACUCUUGAGAAGAGUAUCCAUUUUCCCAGCUAAAUAAUCUUUAAGUUCAAAAGGUAAAAUGAAUAUUUCUUCUUAUAUGAAAUAUGGCUUCAUGGGAGUAGAGUUUUGAUAAGCAUUUGUGAACUCCCUGCUGGUAGAUUUAAAAACCUCCUUGGCAAUCGCAUGGCAACUAAGGAUACAAUGUCCCCUUCUACCUAGGGGCCAAGACAUGGUGUUUGCAGAAUUAUGUAUCCAUUAAGGUAACAUUAGCUCUGUCAGUUUCAACAUUUGGCAUCCAAGGUCACCCUGGAUGCUGGCAACCAGCCAGUAGAUGGGAAAAGAGAAAGAGUAGAGAAGGCAUGUGAGCUUCUUAGACUGGCCUCAAUGUCACCCACACCCCUUCCACCAACAUUCCGUGGGAGAAGAUUUGUCGGAAAGGCCCCACCUAGAUGCACAGGGAACUGAGAAAUGGUAGUUCCUGUCUACAGAGCCACUUCCCAACCACAACUCAAGCAUGAUGGAAGGGCAAUACAGAUAUUUGGAGGCUAGCUAAGUGACUUUGUCACAGUUGUACUGUGGCAGUUACUAAUUUCUUGUCUCAGCUCCAAACCUCCAGACCCUGCUUUGUGAUGCUGGCAGUAGGGCACUACAAACCACGUCUCUGCUUUGUUGGCUGACUCUAUGUUAGGUUCUGCUAAUAGGGGGCAGUAGAGGGAGACAGCAAAGCUGGAGAAGGAAGAGACUUACUCCUACCUGUUUGCUUACCGUGGGUUUUCCUGUCUGCUUGUGGUUCCUGUAUCACCAUAGCCUUGCGUCGUCACCCUGGAAACAGCAGUGCCUUCCUAUAGCAUCAGCUGAAUCUGGUUGCAGUUUUUCCACCAUUUGGACGAAUCAGCUUCAUUGUGUCUGCUGAGAGACACCACCAACCACCUUGUGCCUCCCUCUUCAGAAAUCUGGGUCCAGCACCACAGGGACCUUCCUCCAAGCUCAGAGGUCUCAGUACCAGUUGGCAAGUGCCCCCUUUUCAGAAGUCUGAGGUUUAGCUCCAGGGACCCCGUCUCCCAAGUUUUAGUAAUUCAACCACUUCUCUCCCCCUGCCCCCUGCCGCCUGCCCUGCUGCCUAAGGGUAAUAGCUGCUUCCUGCCGUUUUUACCUUUGUGAAACCUUAGAGAAGCCCUAGCCAAUAAAAAUAUAAUGUGAAUACUAGUCUUUAAUUCUCUAGUAGCCACAUUUUAAAAAAGUAAAAAGAAAUGGUGAAAUUAAUUUUAAUGAUAUAUUGUGUAUAACCCAAUCUGAUCUGCUUUCAUUUUAGCAUAUGAUCACUAUAAAAAUUAUUGAGAUAUUUUUAUAUGAAGUCUUUGAAGUCUGGUGUGUAUUUUACACUUACAGCACAUUUCAAUUUGGAGGGUAAAUUUCACCAGAAAUACUUGAUCUGCCUUAGAUUUCAUAAAAUUUAGAGUUAAAAAUAUAGAUUCACCAGCUCAUGUUGUUCCAAACAUACAUAAUUCUAAUAACUGAAUUGAGUAUCAAUUUGUAACUUUUUAUUUGGAAAAAACUGUGCACUCACAAGAAGUUGCAAAAAAUACUACAGAGAGGUUCUAUGUACCUACCACCCGGCUUCCCCCAUUAGUGACAUCUUCCAUGAUUUUAGUCAUUGUCAAAACCAGAAAAUUAAUUGGCACAACACAGUUAAGUAGAUUACAGACCCUAAUCAGAUUUCCCCAGUUUUUAUAUGCACUUAUUUCUUGGUAUGUCUUUGUGAUUAUAUGGCAUUUUAUUGCUUGUACAGAUUUGUAUAACCACUUCACCACCACAGUCAAGAGACAGAACUCUUCCAUCACUACAAAGGAUAUUCCUCAUGCUGCCCCUUUAUUGUUACUUCUCCCCUCCCCUACACUGAGCCCCUGGCAACCACUUAUAUGUUCUCCAUCUCUACAAUUUUGUCCCAGGGUAAUGGAAAUAAAAACAAAAAUAAAAAAAUGGGACCUAAUUAAACUCAAAAGCUUUUGCACUGCAAAGGAAACCAUAACCAAAACAAAAAGGCAAGCCACAGAUUGGGAGAAAAUAUUUGCAAAUGACGUGACCGACAAGGGAUUAGUCUCCAGAAUUUACAAACAGCUCAUGCAGCUCAAUAUCAUCAAAACAAACAACCCAAUCAAAAAAUGGGCAGAAGACCUAAAUAGACAUUUCUCCAAAAAAGACAUACAGGUGGCCAAGAGGCACAUGAAUAGACAUUCAGCAUCGUUAAUUAUUAGAGAAUUGCAAAUUAAAAUUACAAUGAGAUAUCACCUCACACCAGUCAAAAUGGCUAUCAUCAAAAAAUCCACGAACAAUAAAUGCUGGAGAGGAUGUGGAGAGAAGGGAACCCUCCUACACUGUUGGUGGGAAUGUAAAUUGGUGCUGCCACUAUGGAGAACAGUAUGGAGGUUCCUUAAAAAACUAAUAGAGCUACCAUAUGAUCCUGCAACCCACUCCUGGGCAUAUAUCCAGAGAAAACCAUAAUUCAAAAAGUUACAUGCACCCCAAUGUUCAUUGCAGCACUAUUUACAAUAGCCAAGACAUGGAAGCAACCUAGAUGUCCAUUGACAGAGGAAUGGAUAAAGAAGAUGUGGCACAUAUAUACAAUGGAAUAUUACUCAGCCAUUAAAAAGAAUGAAAUAAUGCCAUUUGCAGCAACAUGGAUGGACCUAGAGAUUGUCAUACUGCGUGAAGUAAGUCAGACAGAGAAAGAGAAAUAUAUGAUAUCACUUAUAAAUGGAAUCUAAAGAGAAAUGAUACAAAUGAACUUAUAAAACAGAAACAGACUCACAGAUCUAGAGAAGGAACUUAGGGUCACCGGGGGGAAGGGUGAGCAGAAGAGAUAGUUAGGGAGUCUGGGAUUGACAUGCACACACUGCUGUAUCUAAAGUGGAUAACCAACAAGGACCUACUGUAUAGCACAGGGAACUCCGCUCAAUAUUAUGUAACAACCUAAGUGGGAUAAGAAUUUGAAAAAGAAUAGAGACAUGUAUAUGUAUAACUGAAUUACUUUGCUGUACACCUGAAACUAUCACAACAUUGUUAAUCAACUAUAAUAUAAAAUUUAAAAAAAUAAAUAAUUCCUUAAGAAAAAGAAUGUUAUAUAAAUGUCAUCCUAUAGUAUGUAAUGUUUUGAAAUUGGCUUUUCUUUUUUCACUCAGCAUAAUGCCCUUAAGAGCCAUCCAAGUUGUUGGGUAUAUCAGUGGUUUGUUCCUUCUUAUUGCUGAAUAAUAUUCCAUAGUAUGGAUGUACCACAAUGUGUUUAACCACUCACCUGUUGAAGGACAUUUGGUUUGUUUUCAGGUUUCAAGUUGUGUGAGCAUUUGAGUAUAGGUUUCUGUGUGGGCCUAAGUUUUCAUUUCUCUGGGAUAAAUGCCCAGGAGUGUGAUUGCUGGGUCGUAGGUAACUCUGUGUUUAAUUGUCAGAAUGAUUUCCAGAGUGGCUGUACCGUGUUUCAUUCUGACCAACAGUGAUAACACGAUCCAGUUUAUCGGCAUCCCUAUCAACAUUUGGUGUUAUCAGUGCUUAAUUUUAACCAUUUGAAUAGGUAUGUAGUCUCAUCUCAGUGUGUUCUUAUUUGUGUUUGCCCAACGACUAGUGAUGUUGGACAUCUUUUCAUGCAUUUAUUUGCCAUCUGUAUAUCAUCUCUGGUGAAGUAUCUGUUCAAGUCUUUUCCCAUUAAAAAUUUGGGUGGUUGGUUUCUUACAGUUGAGUUUUAAGAGUUCUUGAUAUAUUCUGUAGACAAAUCCUUUGUUAGAGAUGUGAUCUGCAAAUAUAUUCUCCCAGUCCAUAGCUUGUCUUUUUAUCUUCUUAACAGGGUUUUUCACAGAGCAAAACUUUUUCAUCCUAAGGAAGUUCAAUUUAGUGAUUUUUUUCUUUUAUGUAUUGUGCUUUUAGUGUCAUGUGUAAGAAUUCUUCACCUAACCCUAGGUCAUGAAUAUUUUCUGCUAUGUUUCAUUCUAAAAUUUUAUAAUUUUACAUUUAAAUCUGUGAUCCAAUUUGAGUCUUUUUUUUUUUUUUUUUUUUUUUUUUUUUUUUGCAGUACACGGGCCUCUCACUGUUGUGGCCUCUCCCGUUGCGGAGCACAGGCUCCAGACGCGCAGGCUCAGCGGCCAUGGCUCACGGGCCCAGCCGCUCCGCGGCAUGCGGGAUGUUCCCGGACUGGGGCACGAACCCGUGUCCCCUGCAUCGGCAGGCGGACUCUCAACCACUGCGCCACCAGGGAAGCCCCUGGGUCAAUUUUUAUUCUGUGAAAAAUGGAAUCCUGCCAACAACCAUGUGACUGAACUUGGAAGCAGACCCUUCCCAGUAGAGCCUUCGGAUGAGGUGACAUCCCUGGCCAGCGCCUUCACUGCGGGCUUGCGAGAGGCCCUGAAGCAGAAGACCCAGCUAAGCCACGCCUGGAUUCCUGAAAACCAGACUGCGCUCUGCCAGGAUCUCUAGAGCCUCGCAUUGGUCAACGCCCCUGAAGAGGGCAGAGUCCAGCCUCAGGCCUCUAGCCCACCCUCUUCCUGGGAAGAAAAUGCCUCUGCUCCGAAGGCAGCCAGCACAUAUUUUACUCACAACAGUCGGCAGAUGGCUGUGAAUCCCUUCUGUUCCCAGGAAUCACAUCGGAACUAACCGCGCUGUGCAUUUUCCAUCACUGGUAGCUAUCCCAACGUGACGUGGGACAUCGUUAUUAAUAGGUGAAGGACAAAGAGAGAGGGGAAGUGGCUUGGGCUGAGUCACACAGCAAAGUUAGAACUCUGAUCUCCCAGCAACUACCGUCGCCCUGGGCUCUGUCCCACACACCUGGCAGCUCCAGAGACUUGCUCCUUUUUGUACUCUGGGCAACGAACUCUCUAGCUAACCAAGCGGGUCUGACUUGUCUUACAGAGAAAUGAAGCAAAAUCUUCUUCGGGAUGGUGUAUUAUGAUCUUUCGGUUUCUACUGGUUGGCAAGAAACCGAGUCCCCACUACUUACUGAAUGACCUGGAACACAUCAUCGAAAGUUUCUGGACCCUCAGUUUUCCCUUCAGUAAAAUGUAGACAAGAUUUAUUGGUGCCUACCCCCAGAGAAGCUGGGUGCGCUAGGGAGAGGAGUGGGGUGCCCUUAUCCAGUCUAUUCUGCGUUACCCUUUACACGGGUGAACUUCAAACCUGGCUGAGCAUGGUAAUCACAUGGUGGCCUUUAAAAAUACAAAUUCCUGGGCCUUGCCCAGCCUGGCUUACUUGGAUUUCUUCUCCUUUCUCCCGGCCAAGUGGCCCCCAGGGUGAAGGGAACCCCCUUGAUUUGAGCAUCGGGGUGGUCUUUAACUUUUCUAUGUAAAUCCUCUCCAACUCAGCUUAAAGGAACCUUUGCUACGAGAUGGGAAGCAUUGCGUUCUGUCUCCUUUGAGCUCUCCCUUGGACUCACUGUUCCCCCAAUUUUGGCACUUCUCAAAUACUGCUUGUUAUUUUUACUUAACUGUUUCAAAUCUUUGCCUCUUGUUUCCUCAGUUAGCUACUGGAGGGUAAAAACCAUGACCUACCCUUCUCUUAUUGCCCCGCAAAUGCCAGCUCCAUUAGCACCUAGUAUCUCUUCAGUAAAUAUUUGUUGAAUGGCAAAUCUUGUAAUUCGGAAAUCUGAAAUAAUUUCUUAUUUAUUUGGGAGACGCUCUGUGUCCUUUGGAAGCUUUCUGGUCACAUGGAAAGAACUUUAAACAAAGAGGCAAGAGCCCUAGCUUCCAGUCUUGGCUCUGUCACAAACUCCCAUUGUGACCUGCAGCAAGUCGCUCGCCUUCUCUAGCCCUUGGUUCCCUCACUUGUGAAACCGGGGCUGAUCUGUAAAGUUUCUUUUAGCUUUGGAUUUUUUGGCUACUCUAGAUAGCAAGGGCAGCCUUUUUCAUGUCAAUGUCUUUAAUGCCCACCAUGCCUAAUUUUUUUUCCUCUAAGGACUACAUAAUCGAUGGAUCAUCUCCAGUUUAUAAAAUGAGAAACUCAAGUAAAGAACAAGUAAAUGCUUUG